AUUGAACGCUGGCGGCAUGCUUUACACAUGCAAGUCGAACGGUAACAGGCCUUCGGUUGCUUCUGUGUGGCUAACGGGUGAGUAAUUCAUCGGCACGUACCCAGCGGUGCGUUCUAAGGCAGCCAAAGCUGUGCUAAUACCGCAUGUGAUCUGAGGAUGACAGCGGGGGACCGAGCAGCAAUGUUUGGCCUCGCUCCUUUGGAGCGCCCGAUGUCGGAUUGGCUAGUUGGUGGGGUAAAGGCCUACCAAGGCGACGAUCCGUAGCGGGUCUGAGUGGACGACGAGCCAAACUGGAACUGAGCAAGGGCCCAGCCUCCUACGGGAGGCGGCGGUGGGGAAUUUUGGACAAUGAGGGAAGGCCUGAGCAGGCACGCCCGCGUGCGGAAGGCAGGCUUUCGGGUUGAAAGCCGCUUUUGGCAGGACGGAAGCGGUGUGCGCUAAUACCGCGAGGUAAUGACGGUACCUGAAGAAAAAGCCACGGCUAACUACGUG
This 492-nucleotide ribosomal RNA is filed under the name uncultured bacterium. RNAcentral's name for it is "partial 16S ribosomal RNA". It matches the Rfam family "Bacterial small subunit ribosomal RNA", at positions 30 to 507 of the family's 1533-position model. The record is from RNAcentral.